RNAcentral lists this ribosomal RNA (301 nucleotides) under uncultured bacterium. RNAcentral describes it as "partial 16S ribosomal RNA". It matches the Rfam family "Bacterial small subunit ribosomal RNA", at positions 509 to 807 of the family's 1533-position model. The record is from RNAcentral.
CAGCCGCCGCGGGAAAACGAAGGGUGCAAGCGUUACUCGGAAUUACUGGGCGUAAAGCGUGCGUAGGUGGUGGUUUAAGUCCGUUGUGAAAGCCCUGGGCUCAACCUGGGAAUUGCAGUGGAUACUGGGUCACUAGAGUGUGGUAGAGGAUAGUGGAAUUUCCGGUGUAGCAGUGAAAUGCGUAGAGAUCGGAAGGAACAUCUGUGGCGAAGGCGACUAUCUGGGCCAACACUGACACUGAGGCACGAAAGCGUGGGGAGCAAACAGGAUUAGAUACCCCAGUAGUCCCUGUCUCUUAUAC